CCUACGGGUGGCAGCAGUGAGGAAUAUUGGUCAAUGGCCGAGAGGCUGAACCAGCCAAGUCGCGUGAGGGAAGACGGCCCUACGGGUUGUAAACCUCUUUUGUCGGGGAGCAAAGCGAGUCACGUGUGACUCAUUGAGAGUACCCGAAGAAAAAGCAUCGGCUAACUCCGUGCCAGCAGCCGCGGUAAUACGGAGGAUGCGGGCGUUAUCCGGAUUUAUUGGGUUUAACGGGUGCGCAGGCGGAGGGGCAAGUCAGCGGUAAAAUUGCGGGGCUCAACCCCGGACUGCCGUUGAACCUGCAUCUCUUGAGUGCGGGAGAGGUAGGCGGAAUGCGUGGUGUAGCGGUGAAAUGCAUAGAUAUCACGCAGAACUCCGAUGGCGAAGGCAGCAUACCGGCGCGCAACUGACGCUCAUGCACGAAAGCGUGGGUAUCGAACAGGAUUAGAUACCCCAGUAGUC
RNAcentral lists this ribosomal RNA (459 nucleotides) under uncultured bacterium. RNAcentral describes it as "partial 16S ribosomal RNA". It matches the Rfam family "Bacterial small subunit ribosomal RNA", at positions 338 to 795 of the family's 1533-position model. The record is from RNAcentral.